GCGAUUGCGACCUGGAUAGCUGGAUUUUCCCAACAAUUGGUGACGGACUCAAUAAUUGGAAGGCUGAAGACACUAUCCCGAUUUCCUUUAGUCAGGAGUAAUUGUUAUUGUCUAUUUUAGUGUUGCAAAUUUUUUUUUUUUUUUUUUACAAUUGAACUUCUCCAAGCGUUGUGUCUAUGCCCGGGGCACAAUAGCUAAUUUGUUAAGGGUUUUGUCAUCUUCAUAAGCAUAUUCAUAUUCAAUAAAUC
RNAcentral lists this long non-coding RNA (248 nucleotides) under Lathyrus oleraceus (garden pea). Its description in RNAcentral is "Pisum sativum (pea) long non-coding RNA (PSAT_LNC040844)". Lineage: Eukaryota; Viridiplantae; Streptophyta; Magnoliopsida; Fabales; Fabaceae. The record is from RNAcentral.